AUCCAGCUGACAAAUCCCAAAUAGGAUGAAACGCGCAUUCUGGAU
RNAcentral lists this non-coding RNA (45 nucleotides) under Schistosoma mansoni. Lineage: Eukaryota; Metazoa; Platyhelminthes; Trematoda; Strigeidida; Schistosomatidae. The record is from RNAcentral.